GUGAGUUGGCUCGUCCGGAGAGUGCGUGUGCGCGCGCGGCCAAGUUUCGGGGGGGCCGGGCGCGCGCGGGGGGCGCGCGCGGGGACAUCGCUGCGGGGCGGCUCGGGCCGUGAGCUCCGCUGGGGCCCCAGCGCGUCAGGCCGCGGCCGACUGGGCCCCGCGCCCCCGCCCCGGGCCGCGCCGCGCCGCGCCCCCCGGCCCGGCCGCCCGACGUCGGGCCCCGGCUGCCUCCCGCGGCCGCCCCGCCGCCCGGCCCCUCUUUUGUUCCCCAUCCCGGGUUUCAGGCCGAGUUCGGGGAGGCGGUGUGGGCGAAAGGCGCCUCCAAGGACGCUUCUCGAAUCCUUAAAUGGGAAAGGCGCUCGCCUCACUCGCCCGGGAGCGGCGAGCUUGGUAUUCGUGAUCAGUCUGUGUACGCUGCUUCUGCUGCUGCUGCUGCUGCAAAAAAAAAAGACCGAAAAAGUCUGUUUCGUGGGGCGGGAGAGGCGGGAGGAGUUGCAAGGCCCCCCCGAACUCGGCCGCGCGGAGGUGCCAGGCUCUCGGAGGUUCACCUGUUGUCCUGCGCUGCCAUGUCUGGUGAUUGUGCACUUCAGCGCCUGCAAACUUUCUGCUGGAUGGAGUGUCACCCAUUUUUCGUCUUUCCAGACUCCUAGUGGGGAGGUUUGGCAGGGAGAGGAGAUCGCUUGCGUCAGGGGAGGAAAAAUGUGCUCUGUGUUAGGGUCUGGCGUCUUGUGCCUUGUGCUGCUCGGUGCUCUCGGCGGUUUGAAUUUGGGCAAAGAGCUGCGGGUUCUCUGUUUUUGGACGGUUAGCAGCCUGCUCGGAGCGCACAGUGCGGACUUGGCACGUUCACCUGUGUUACGUCAUGUGAUCCUGAUGAGAACCCUGGUCGUUGCAUGCCUCGUUGUUUAGACGAGGAAACCGAGACGUGAAGAGGGUUCAAUAACUUGCUCGGCGAGCUAGGGUUUGAAUCAGGAUUUUCCCUACUGUUCAGGAGCUGUUAAACUGAGGCAUUCGAUGAGUUUGUUUAAAAAAAAAAAGCAACAAAAACUCUUUUAUGCACUUUUACGUUGAACAUCACUUUUCGGGCACCCCUAACUUGAAAUGAUCGCUAUUUUGUUGCUUGAGUUGCAAACAACUCGUUGAUUGUAUUUACUCGUAAGAGGUGUUCAAGUCUGAAUUAAAGUAGAAUGUAACUUAAUGCUUAUCACUGUGUUCAGCGGUUGGAGUAAAGUUUGUGAACCAGAAUUAUUGAAGUAUUUAAACUUAAAGCUAAAAUACAGGUGGUUCUGAGCUGGGUGUGGGUUUACACGAGGCUAAUUGAAAUUUAGAAUGCAUUUUUACAGAACCGGUGUCCUGCUUCUGUUUUGUUUUUUUCCUCCUGCACAUUCUCCGUGGAGUUCAUUGCAGACUUUUUCGACUUCCUUCACUUCUCCACACCCUUUGAUGAAAAGACUGAGGCUUCCAGACUCGUGGAUUUUUUGUCAUCUGCUGCUUUUUUUCCAUCUCGCCCCCAGUGCAUGGUUGUAUUUCCUAGUUGUAAGUCCUUCUAGUCCUUCUGUGUGAGCCACCAGCACAGCAUGGCACCUGACAGAUGGGUGGUGCGGUUCUGUGACCAGGAAACCAACUCAGGCCACCAAGGCGGGUGAGCGCCAAACUUUAACCACCAGGCCAUCAGGGCCAGCCCCAGGCUAUUCGUUCCUAAAAAAUCAAAACAAAGCGAUGUGCUCAGAGAUCCGCAGUCGUGUUUUUUGAAGAGAACGCUGGUUAGAGUAGAGGCUUAAGGAGACGAGGUGAUCAGUGGGAUCCGUCUCUUGGUAGGCUCAGUGGGUCCCUAAACCAGGUUCAUCUGGGCACUUCAGUGUAGAACUAAUGAAUAGACAUUGGAUAGAUACAGAAAUUAUUCUUGGGUAUCUGUUAUUAAAAACAGGUGAAUCUGAGCUAUUCUGAUACUGAGGACAUUGCUACUCUUUUCUGUUUCUGACGAACCUCGUUUUCUGAGGGCAUACAGUUGUUACACCACUGCUAGCAUCUGGAGCAGUGAAGCUUGGCUGUUGCUCCAGCUGUGUGUAGUUGCCUGUGGACUUAAGGAGGAGGAUGGGGUAUGCCAAGUGUAGGGAUAAAAUAAUCACCUUUGCAGUGUAGGGAGAUUAGUUACAUGGGGGAGAAUCAGUUUGAAGAAAGGAAGACUGAGGACCCUGAGGCUUGUCGGGAGGCUGUUCCAUCCUGGCCCAGACUGGAUGGUGGCAGGUCAUGAGGGCCUGGAAUGGACAGGACUUGGUAACUGGCUGUGAUGGGAGAAGGAAUGGGAUUGGCAAGAGUGACUCCCGGGUUUCUAGCGUGGACAUCUGGUAGGGUGUGUUGUUGAGUGAGAUGAACAGCAUGGAUGGAGAGCUGGUGUGUGGAGGAGGAUAGUUCAGUUUUGAUCAUACGGAGUUCAAGCUGUCUCUGAAACGACCAAGGAGAGAUCUGCACUUGGCAGGUGCCUGUGUGGGGCUGGAGUCCGACAGAGGUUUGCCUAGAGGUGGACAUUUGGGAGUGAUGACCGUGUAGCUGUGGGAAUUGGGUGGCUCUCUCAAGUGACUUCUGCUUGCAAGUGACAAACCCAACUCACAUUAGCUUAAAGGGGAAAAAGGCUUUUUCUCCCCUCUCACGUUUUUGAGAAGAGUGGAAAUAGGUGUUGCUGGCCCUAAGUGUUCACACGAUGUCAUCGGGGGCCUGUCUUCUCUGCUCUCUGCUUUUUGGCCUCAUUUUCAGGCAGGUACUUUCAUCUGGCAGAGGAGGACCAUUGGCACCUCCAGGCUCUCAUGGGCCUUACUUCUCUGGAUUCAAGAGGGGAAAUGGGCACCUUUUCCCCAGGUGCAUAGAUUCUGUCCCAUGGAGGAAUUCUUACUGGGUCUACAUGGAGUCUGGGCGACGUGCCAUCAUUGGCCAGGCCUGGCUUACGUGCCCACUGGAGCAGUCAGGGAGCCGGUUAAACACUGGGACUGAUGGUCUUCCCGGAACCAUAUGAGAUGGGGAAGUGGUUGUUUCCCCAAAGAGGAUGGAUCUGGUCAGGUGAACAACAUAAAUCCAUUAACUUUUGGUUUUUAUCCAUUUUUAAGGUCAUUUUUUGCGUAUCUGAAGAAAAAUACACAAAUAUAACAAUCUUGUGUGUAAUUUCAUGGUUAUGUUAGGGCCCUCAUAUCAGGAACUCCUGGUAUAUACAGCAAAGAGCCUAGACCAGCCCCAGGAAACACUAGUUUAAGACCUAGAUAGAGAAAUAGAUAUUAAGUAAUUUCACAAAUAAUUAUCUGAUUGUAGUUAUGUUAAGAUCUACAAAAGGGAAGUACAGGGAGCUUAUAAGAGUGUGUAAUAAGGGAACCUGGUCUGUUUAGGGUGUGGGUGCUUUGGAAGGCUUUCCUGAGAAAGUGGCCUGUAGAAUGAGAUCUUAGACCAGGAAGGAGAGGGAGAAUAUUUUUGGAGUUGUUCAGUAGUUUUUAAAGCAAACGCUUUUUCCUUCUUUUUAAAAAAUUAUAAAAGUAAUAUAUCUGUUGUGGAUAAUCUGGGAAAUAUGAAAAAUUAUAAAGCAGCAGAAGAACACAAGUUUUGGCUUCUAAUUUUUUAUAAUUUCCUUUUUUUUUAACUUGAGGUAACGUUGG
This is a long non-coding RNA of Equus asinus (donkey), 3635 nucleotides long. The record is from Ensembl. Lineage: Eukaryota; Metazoa; Chordata; Mammalia; Perissodactyla; Equidae.